UACGUAGGGAGCAAGCGUUGUCCGGAUUUACUGGGUGUAAAGGGUGCGUAGGCGGCUUUGCAAGUCAGAUGUGAAAUCUAUGGGCUCAACCUAUAAACUGCAUUUGAAACUGUAGAGCUUGAGUGAAGUAGAGGCAGGCGGAAUUCCCCGUGUAGCGGUGAAAUGCGUAGAGAUGGGGAGGAACACCAGUGGCGAAGGCGGCCUGCUGGGCUUUAACUGACGCUGAGGCACGAAAGCGUGGGUAGCAAACAGG
RNAcentral lists this ribosomal RNA (253 nucleotides) under Ruminococcus bromii. Its description in RNAcentral is "partial 16S ribosomal RNA". It matches the Rfam family "Bacterial small subunit ribosomal RNA", at positions 524 to 776 of the family's 1533-position model. The record is from RNAcentral. Lineage: Bacteria; Bacillati; Bacillota; Clostridia; Eubacteriales; Oscillospiraceae.